ACACCGGCAGCUCUAGUGGUCGCUGUUUUUAUUGGGCCUAAAGCGUUCGUAGCCGGUUUGGGAAGUCGCUGGUGACAUCCUGUAGCUUAACUGUGGGAAUUGCUGGUGAUACUGUUGAACUUGAGGUCGGGAGAGGUUAGCGGUACUCCAAGGGUAGAGGUGAAAUUCUGUAAUCCUGGGAGGACCACCUGUGGCGAAGGCGGCUAACUGGAACGAACCUGACGGUAAGGGACGAAAGCUAGGGGCGCGAACCGGAUUAGAUACCCGGGUAGUCCUAGCCGUAAACGAUGCGGACUUGGUGUUGGGAUGGCUUUGAGCCGCUUUGGUGCCGAAGGGAAGCUGUUAAGUCCGCCGCCUGGGAAGUACGGUCGCAAGACUGAAACUUAAAGGAAUUGACGGGG
This 401-nucleotide ribosomal RNA is filed under the name uncultured bacterium. RNAcentral describes it as "partial 16S ribosomal RNA". It matches the Rfam family "Archaeal small subunit ribosomal RNA", at positions 473 to 873 of the family's 1478-position model. The record is from RNAcentral.